Long non-coding RNA from Amblyraja radiata (thorny skate), 309 nucleotides. RefSeq lists it as uncharacterized. The transcript is spliced from 3 exons. The record is from RefSeq and is a predicted model, not a curated record. NCBI's taxonomy places the organism in Eukaryota, Metazoa, Chordata, Chondrichthyes, Rajiformes, Rajidae.
UUAGGCUUACCACUGCCUGAAAAAUUCUACCACUGCCUGAAAAAUAAUCAAAGGCUCAACUUCCACUGAAAAAGAAAAUUCCAAUGAAUGAUUGUUAUGCGAGAAUUUUUCAGAAUAGUCUGUGACCCAUAGCGCUGUGGCCAUAGCGCUAUGUUUAAAGCCCAUAGCGCUGCAGCUGGUAGCGCUAUAUUUAGAACCCAUAGCACUACAGCCGACAACUCUUUGUUUAAAUUCCCACACGUUAAACUGACAGUGCUCUGUUUAACCCUGGAGUGGGACAGGCAGCAUCUCUGGAGAGAGGAAUGGGUG